GUGAUUAUUAGAUGUAAGUGCAUAAGCAAACAAAGGCUUACAGGACUUUCAUCAACCCCCCAUUCCCAAAGAAAAUUCACUUGUUUCAGUAUGCAUGUGCAAGUUGGCAUAAAAAAAAGUCUGGAAGAACUGUAGUAGGUAAUAAGUUUAUAAUUGCUAAUAAGCCAUAUAAACACAAGCUUCAUUAACAUUUACCUCAAGCACAACAUCAGGAU
RNAcentral lists this unclassified non-coding RNA (215 nucleotides) under Hevea brasiliensis (rubber tree). The record is from RNAcentral. Lineage: Eukaryota; Viridiplantae; Streptophyta; Magnoliopsida; Malpighiales; Euphorbiaceae.